GACGAACGCUGGCGGCGUGCCUAACACAUGCAAGUCGAGCGGAGAAACAAAAGAGCAGCUUGCUGCGAUUUGUUUCUUAGCGGCGGACGGGUGAGUAACGCGUGGGUAAUCUGCCUCAAACAGGGGGAUAACACAGGGAAACUUGUGCUAAUACCGCAUAAGACCCCACCAUGGCAUCAUGGAGAGGUCAAAGGAAGAAAUUCCGGUUUGAGAUGAGCCCGCGUCUGAUUAGCUAGUUGGUGAGGUAACGGCUCACCAAGGCGACGAUCAGUAGCCGAACUGAGAGGUUGAUCGGCCACAUUGGGACUGAGACACGGCCCAGACUCCUACGGGAGGCAGCAGUGGGGAAUAUUGCACAAUGGGGGAAACCCUGAUGCAGCGACGCCGCGUGAAGGAAGAAGGCCCUCGGGUUGUAAACUUCUUUGACCAGGGACGAAGAAAGUGACGGUACCUGGAGAACAAGCCACGGCUAACUACGUG
Molecule: ribosomal RNA, 480 nt
Filed under: uncultured bacterium
Lineage: Bacteria
Also listed under: 1 other name
Description: bacterial SSU rRNA
Rfam family: Bacterial small subunit ribosomal RNA
Source: RNAcentral